UGAACUCUCAAAGUUCUUUUCCCUUGAUUGGGUCAGGAUACUUUGGAUCAUGGGUGCUUGCGGGCUUUGGCUUGCUCACCUUGAAUGGAAUGUGGCAUUCUUCUCUGAAGCUGCUGCUGGGUUUGACCUGGAGUGAUAGAAGUCUUUCGAGAUCUCUAGGGAACUGUCUUUUUGAUGGUGCCUGCUGUGGUGGGAGUGAGUGUCUUUCAGACUUAUUUGACGA
Molecule: unclassified non-coding RNA, 223 nt
Filed under: uncultured fungus
Lineage: Eukaryota; Fungi
Description: sequence contains ITS2
Source: RNAcentral